GGGGGCGACAUGGCUUCGACGUGGGUCGCGAAACCUGAGGUGCAUGCCGAGGCGCAGAGGACCUCGUAAAUCCAGCUGCAAACAACAUAGUUGCCAACGACGACAACUACGCCCUGGCCGCUUAAGGCAGCCAGCCUCUGACCGGAGCCGCGCUCACGCGUCCGGAGUCCCGCAAGGGACACUCAGGGGUCACCUCUCGUGAGAUCGUGGGGACGUUCGCCUGGGGCGAAACCACUAAAUCCUUACCGGGAUCGCCCGUCACACGCCCUGCCCAUCGGGUGGUGCCGGGUUAAAGACAAUAGAUCGGGAUAAGCAUGUAGAACCAACGGCAGAGGGCUUGCGGACGGGGGUUCAAUUCCCCCCGCCUCCACCA
RNAcentral lists this transfer-messenger RNA (373 nucleotides) under Gammaproteobacteria (g-proteobacteria). RNAcentral's name for it is "JACKNK01 sp024234895 Standard tmRNA". It matches the Rfam family "transfer-messenger RNA". From Rfam's summary of the family: Bacterial tmRNA, also known as 10Sa RNA or SsrA, is named for its dual tRNA and mRNA-like properties. Its role is to liberate the mRNA from a stalled ribosome. The record is from RNAcentral. RNAcentral also lists the same sequence under 1 other name. Lineage: Bacteria; Pseudomonadati; Pseudomonadota.